Molecule: transfer RNA, 73 nt
Filed under: bacterium
Lineage: Bacteria
Also listed under: 1 other name
Description: tRNA-Ala
Rfam family: tRNA
About the family: Transfer RNA (tRNA) molecules are approximately 80 nucleotides in length.
Source: RNAcentral
GGGGGACUAACUCAAUUGGUAGAGUGCCAGCUUUGCAAGCUGGAAGUUAGGGGUUCAAGUCCCCUGUCCUCCA